UACGUAGGUUGCAAGCGUUGUCCGGAUUUACUGGGCGUAAGGAGCGCGCAGGCGGUCGUUCAAGUCGCGUGUGAAAGCCCCCGGCUCAACUGGGGAGGGUCACGCGAUACUGAUCGACUCGAAGGCAGGAGAGGGUAGUGGAAUUCCCGGUGUAGUGGUGAAAUGCGUAGAUAUCGGGAGGAACACCAGUGGCGAAGGCGACUACCUGGCCUGUUCUUGACGCUGAGGCGCGAAAGCUAGGGGAGCAAACGGG
RNAcentral lists this ribosomal RNA (253 nucleotides) under uncultured bacterium. RNAcentral describes it as "partial 16S ribosomal RNA". It matches the Rfam family "Bacterial small subunit ribosomal RNA", at positions 524 to 776 of the family's 1533-position model. The record is from RNAcentral.